AAGUCAGGAUUUGUAUCAGGCAAAAAUCUCCGGGGAUUCGAGUGCAUUAGGAUGGAAAGGAAGCCUGCCCCUUCUGAACAGAAAUACAAGGCGAAAUGGACAUAGCGGUGAGAGGAUUACAGCACAGAUAUCUGGUCAGGACAGCAUAAAAGAAGAGGAUAGAAACAUCCGAAGUCUGAGGUAGCAGCCGCCUUCCUGAAAUCACGACGGAGAGUGUGUGUAGGUGGGC
This is a long non-coding RNA of Tachyglossus aculeatus (Australian echidna), 229 nucleotides long. RefSeq lists it as uncharacterized. The record is from RefSeq and is a predicted model, not a curated record. NCBI's taxonomy places the organism in Eukaryota, Metazoa, Chordata, Mammalia, Monotremata, Tachyglossidae. The transcript is spliced from 3 exons.